GUGCUUGCUUCGGCAGCACAUAUACUAAAACUGGAACAUUACAGAGAAGAUUAGCACAGUCCUGAGCAAGGAUGACACCCAAAUUCAUGAAUGAUUCUGUAUUUUU
Molecule: small nuclear RNA, 106 nt
Organism: Protopterus annectens (West African lungfish)
Lineage: Eukaryota; Metazoa; Chordata; Ceratodontiformes; Protopteridae
Source: RefSeq, a predicted model, not a curated record